GAGCCGGGGACCUUCGGAGCCGGAAGUAGUCCUGCCUGGAACUGGACGACCCCGGAAGCUGCAGUGCCGGCGGCGGCGCGGCAGGGGGCGCGGUUGCCUGUGGUUUUUCGCGUUGGACGCCGGCUCUGAGGGCCUUGUUCUUGUCGCUAAUUUAGUUGGUUCCAGAGCGGCAGGACUCGUAGCUAGAGAACGAGGAGCCACGAUGCGUACGCGUUACAGUCCUGUUUCCCUAGAAACGGAGCCGCCGGCGCAGAGGUGGCUUUGAGAUUCUGCGAAAGACCUGACUGCUCUCGAACACUUACUGUGUUGCACCCUCCCUGGGCGCCCAAUCCAAACCCCGUCGGAAUAACCACCCGGGACAGCGGUGGUCGAAGUAACUACGCCUAACUUUUCGCUUUCCAUCGUGUCCCCCCAUAAAAACACUGCUGGACCCCGGGAAUCCAAAGUCGAAGGAGGCACACUCCCUGCCUUAGAGAAUUUUAUAGGGGCAGUGCAUAACGUACAUGAUGGUGUAUGGCGAUUCGGAUAGUAGUACAAGUCAUAAACUCAAAUUCCUAUAGGAUCCAGGCAGGAUUUUUAACUCCUUGCAAGGCAAGUGUACUGGUGACAAAUUCCCUCAAAUUUUGUUUGCCUGAGAAAGUCUUUCUCCCUCACUAUUGAAAGAUAAUUUCACUGGAUACAGAAUUCUAGCUACUUAUCUGUGAGAUGCCAGAUUUUCUUCAUAUACUUGAACCAAAACAACAUAUUUGCAACAUAUUGAAUGCAGAAGCAGAUAUGAGAAUGCAGCUGUAUUUCAUUAAGCCAGAUAUUAAAGAGAUUUGCAAAUGUGAAAGUGAUGCUCUUUUCAUGAAAUUUGUUUAAUUUAGAAAACAUUUAUUUUUAAAUAAAACCUAUGGUGUUCAUAAUA
This is a non-coding RNA of Macaca mulatta (Rhesus monkey), 907 nucleotides long. Lineage: Eukaryota; Metazoa; Chordata; Mammalia; Primates; Cercopithecidae. The record is from RefSeq and is a predicted model, not a curated record.